This 77-nucleotide small nucleolar RNA is filed under the name Dichanthelium oligosanthes. Its description in RNAcentral is "Small nucleolar RNA SNORD18". It matches the Rfam family "Small nucleolar RNA SNORD18". From Rfam's summary of the family: U18 is a member of the C/D class of snoRNA which contain the C (UGAUGA) and D (CUGA) box motifs. It is encoded in introns of ribosomal protein L1 in Xenopus and human, and in introns of elongation factor 1 beta in yeast. Related snoRNAs in Arabidopsis and rice have been named R63 and Z106 respectively. Lineage: Eukaryota; Viridiplantae; Streptophyta; Magnoliopsida; Poales; Poaceae. The record is from Rfam by way of RNAcentral.
GGGAGGUGAAGAAGAACCAUUGGUCCGUGUUUCUGACAGUCUAAUGAUGCAAGAAACUCCCAUUUACUUCUGAUCCU